Molecule: ribosomal RNA, 635 nt
Filed under: uncultured Enterobacter sp.
Lineage: Bacteria; Pseudomonadati; Pseudomonadota; Gammaproteobacteria; Enterobacterales; Enterobacteriaceae
Description: bacterial SSU rRNA
Rfam family: Bacterial small subunit ribosomal RNA
Source: RNAcentral
CGACCGCCUGGGGAGUACGGCCGCAAGGUUAAAACUCAAAUGAAUUGACGGGGGCCCGCACAAGCGGUGGAGCAUGUGGUUUAAUUCGAUGCAACGCGAAGAACCUUACCUACUCUUGACAUCCAGAGAACUUAGCAGAGAUGCUUUGGUGCCUUCGGGAACUCUGAGACAGGUGCUGCAUGGCUGUCGUCAGCUCGUGUUGUGAAAUGUUGGGUUAAGUCCCGCAACGAGCGCAACCCUUAUCCUUUGUUGCCAGCGGUCCGGCCGGGAACUCAAAGGAGACUGCCAGUGAUAAACUGGAGGAAGGUGGGGAUGACGUCAAGUCAUCAUGGCCCUUACGAGUAGGGCUACACACGUGCUACAAUGGCGCAUACAAAGAGAAGCGACCUCGCGAGAGCAAGCGGACCUCAUAAAGUGCGUCGUAGUCCGGAUUGGAGUCUGCAACUCGACUCCAUGAAGUCGGAAUCGCUAGUAAUCGUGGAUCAGAAUGCCACGGUGAAUACGUUCCCGGGCCUUGUACACACCGCCCGUCACACCAUGGGAGUGGGUUGCAAAAGAAGUAGGUAGCUUAACCUUCGGGAGGGCGCUUACCACUUUGUGAUUCAUGACUGGGGUGAAGUCGUAACAAGGUAGCC